GACGAACGCUGGCGGCGUGCUUAACACAUGCAAGUCGAGCGGAAAGGCCCUUCGGGGUACUCGAGCGGCGAACGGGUGAGUAACACGUGAGUAACCUGCCCUAGGCUUUGGGAUAACCCCGGGAAACCGGGGCUAAUACCGGAUAUGACCUGGUGCCGCCUGGUGUUGGGUGGAAAGUUUUUUCUGCCUGGGAUGGGCUCGCGGCCUAUCAGCUUGUUGGUGGGGUGAUGGCCUACCAAGGCGAUGACGGGUAGCCGGCCUGAGAGGGCGACCGGCCACACUGGGACUGAGACACGGCCCAGACUCCUACGGGAGGCAGCAGUGGGGAAUAUUGCACAAUGGGCGGAAGCCUGAUGCAGCGACGCAGUGUGAGGGAUGAAGGCCUUCGGGUUGUAAACCUCUUUCAGCAGGGACGAAGCGUGAGUGACGGUACCUGCAGAAGAAGCGCCGGCCAACUACGUG
RNAcentral lists this ribosomal RNA (462 nucleotides) under uncultured bacterium. Its description in RNAcentral is "partial 16S ribosomal RNA". It matches the Rfam family "Bacterial small subunit ribosomal RNA", at positions 28 to 507 of the family's 1533-position model. The record is from RNAcentral.